CGCACAUUGCGCCCCUUGGUACUCCGGGGGGCAUGCCUGUCCGAGCGUCAUUGAAAACCAUCAAGCCUGGCUUGGUCUUGGGCGCGGUCUUGGGACCCGCCCGCAACCCGUCGGCGGUGCCGGUUCGGCCCUGAGCGUAGCAGAAGUACUCGCUCUGGGGCCGCUGCGGUACCCGCCAGCAACCCUUACAUCUACAGUUUGACCUCGGAUCAGGUAGGGAUACCCGCUGAACUUAA
RNAcentral lists this unclassified non-coding RNA (236 nucleotides) under Dothideomycetes sp. Its description in RNAcentral is "partial contains 5.8S ribosomal RNA, internal transcribed spacer 2, and large subunit ribosomal RNA". The record is from RNAcentral. Lineage: Eukaryota; Fungi; Ascomycota; Dothideomycetes.